CAAUAGCGUAUAUUAAAGUUGUUGCAGUUAGAACGCUCGUAGUCGGAUUUCGGGGCGGGCCGACCGGUCUGCCGAUGGGUACGCACUGGUCGGCGCGUCCUUCCUUCCGGAGACCGUGCCUACUCUUAACUGAGCGGGGGCGGGAGACGGAUCGUUUACUUUGAAAAAAUCAGAGUGUUUCAAGCAGGCAGCUCGCUCUUGCAUGGAUUAGCAUGGGAUAAUGAAAUAGGACUUUGGUGCUAUUUUGUUGGUUUCGAACACCGAAGUAAUGAUAAAUAGGGACAGUCAGGGGCACUCGUAUUCCGCCGAGAGAGGUGAAAUUCUCAGACCAGCGGAGGACGAACCACUGCGAAAGCAUUUGCCAGGGAUGUUUUCACUGA
This 380-nucleotide ribosomal RNA is filed under the name uncultured eukaryote. RNAcentral describes it as "partial 18S ribosomal RNA". It matches the Rfam family "Eukaryotic small subunit ribosomal RNA", at positions 592 to 976 of the family's 1831-position model. The record is from RNAcentral.